CUUGCCAUAUGUCGAUGUGCCCCUAGGCAAGGCACUUAACCUCAAGUUGCCUACCAAUCGGUAUUCCAUCCUCUUCGAGGUCUCCCAACGCCUCCUUCAAGGUCUCAGCAGCUCCUCAGGUAAUUGCCCUGAUCAGAAACACCUGUGUGGCUGCAGCUGCCUGUCGCACCCUGGUGGACAGAAUGAGACACAACACAACAAACCUGAACUCGACAACAAGGCCUGACACAUGAAAUUCAUGUGAUUCCGCUCAUUGUGUCACAUCCCUACUACAUAUGUCCAGAUAUUAAAGAAUGUGGAGCAUCUUUUACCAUGUAAACUGCAUACCAAAAGGUACAUUUAGUCUUUGUAGUUUGUUUUAUUUCUGCUUGUAUUGUUUUUCUUUCUAUUUUACUUUUAUUUGUCUCGGUUUAAUCAAAAAAUACUGUACAGCACUUUUACGUCACAAUUAAUUUAUUAAAUAUGCUUAAUAAAUAAAAUGGAUUUGAAUUUAA
Molecule: long non-coding RNA, 494 nt
Organism: Girardinichthys multiradiatus
Lineage: Eukaryota; Metazoa; Chordata; Actinopteri; Cyprinodontiformes; Goodeidae
Exons: 2
Source: RefSeq, a predicted model, not a curated record